GACGAACGCUGGCGGCGUGCCUAAUACAUGCAAGUAGAACGCACAGUUUAUACCGUAGCUUGCUACACCAUAAACUGUGAGUUGCGAACGGGUGAGUAACGCGUAGGUAACCUGCCUGGUAGCGGGGGAUAACUAUUGGAAACGAUAGCUAAUACCGCAUAAUAUUGAUUAUUGCAUGGUAAUUGAUUGAAAGAUGCUAUUGCAUCACUACCAGAUGGACCUGCGUUGUAUUAGCUAGUAGGUGAGGUAACGGCUCACCUAGGCGACGAUACAUAGCCGACCUGAUAGGGUGAUCGGCCACACUGGGACUGAGACACGGCCCAGACUCCUACGGGAGGCAGCAGUAGGGAAUCUUCGGCAAUGGACGAAAGUCUGACCGAGCAACGCCGCGUGAGUGAAGAAGGUUUUCGGAUCGUAAAGCUCUGUUGUAAGAGAAGAACGGGUGUGAGAGUGGAAAGUUCACACUGUGACGGUAUCUUACCAGAAAGGGACGGCUAACUACGUG
RNAcentral lists this ribosomal RNA (505 nucleotides) under uncultured bacterium. Its description in RNAcentral is "partial 16S ribosomal RNA". It matches the Rfam family "Bacterial small subunit ribosomal RNA", at positions 28 to 507 of the family's 1533-position model. The record is from RNAcentral.